GCUCAGUAACGGCGAGUGAGCGGCAAGAGCUCAAAUUUGAAAUCUGGCCCCUCCGGGGUCCGAGUUGUAAUUUGCAGAGGAUGCUUCGGGUGCGGCCCCUGUCUAAGUGCCCUGGAACGGGCCGUCAGAGAGGGUGAGAAUCCCGUCUUGGGCAGGGUGCCCGUGCCCGUGUGAAGCUCCUUCGACGAGUCGAGUUGUUUGGGAAUGCAGCUCAAAAUGGGUGGUAAAUUUCAUCUAAAGCUAAAUACCCGGCCGGAGACCGAUAGCGCACAAGUAGAGUGAUCG
Molecule: ribosomal RNA, 285 nt
Filed under: Aspergillus caesiellus
Lineage: Eukaryota; Fungi; Ascomycota; Eurotiomycetes; Eurotiales; Aspergillaceae
Description: partial 28S ribosomal RNA
Rfam family: Eukaryotic large subunit ribosomal RNA
Source: RNAcentral